CUUCCAGUCGUCCGAACAGCUGAGCGGCUGUUUCAGGGGUUUUCUCUUUUGCCCAAACGCCACCUAAUAAAGUUCUGAAAGGCUGAAGAAAAAAGACCUUUCAGACUUCUAGGCCUUCAACGAGGUGCCCUGAAGAGAGCGCAGGAUGGCGCCCAGGGGUGGCGAAGGGGGCUCCUCCUGGGUCCCACUUGGCACGGGGCAGUCCGCAUCCCUGUCCAGCCGCUGAUGUCGCCGGGUCGAAGCAGCUGGAGUCCACGGUCGCGAGGCCACCGGCCUCUCGGCGUUUCUCCAGCCUGUCAGCUUCCGGCCAGCCCACGCCAGCAUCUGUCGUCAGGCAGAGAAGCCACAAAGGUGCUUGCUGCCAAGGACCAAGACAACGCAGAAGCCGAAGGGGAAGACGACCUGCAGGUGCCGGAGGUCCACGGCCGGGGCCUUGUGGUGACCGCGGGAGCCUGGCUCCUCAGCCGCGUGGGCGUCAAGAUCCGGGUCCUCCUGCCGGCGGCCGUUCGCUUCCGGCGGCCGCUUUCCCGCCACCGCCGCCGCGGCCCCGGGCCUGGGCGAGCCUGACUCCUCCACCGCGGUGCGGGGGAUGGAAGGAGCCGGAGAGGAGGUGCAGACGGUUCGUGAAUGUGUUGUUUUCUGUGCGGCCAAGAGAACACAACAAGCAUUUUGUGCAGUGAUGACCGAAUUUCCCUGUGGCCAGCCUACUGUGUGGGACAUCAGAAAGCAAGAAGGGGCAAGAGACUUCCAUUAUGGCUGUGGAGGCUGCUGACAGUAGCUACAGGAAAUGGAUUCUCUGAGCCGUGCCUUCCUGUCAGGAGUGAAAGCAAGCGGUCCUGGAGAGCUGCCUCUUCAUCUCUGGGCUGGGGAAAAGGAGGGGUUUUAUUUAUUUCCAGUUUCUUCCUUCUAGUAAGAAAUCAGUUAUGUGAAUGUGCUAAUCAAAUUCCUUCAUACACAAUUAUAAUUUUAAGGAAUAAAUAAGUGGAACACCUUAAACAUGCCGUACCCUCUGAGUACUCAAAAAUCUUGAUUUUUUUUCCUGAUAUAAUAUAAAAGCCUUGCAUUUAAAUUAGAGUCUUGCACCUAAUGAUAUAAAACAGUUUUAGUCAGUUAUGAAUCAAUUAUUUGACUUCAAAGAUAAGGUUAGCUGUGAUUAACUAUCUCAGUUUUUCCUAGCUUUUAUUUCAUGGAAUUUUAUGUUUUUCCAUAAAGAAAAUUUCUUACACGUA
Molecule: long non-coding RNA, 1229 nt
Filed under: Equus asinus (donkey)
Lineage: Eukaryota; Metazoa; Chordata; Mammalia; Perissodactyla; Equidae
Description: lncRNA (ENSEASG00005024002.1)
Source: RNAcentral